GAAGAAUAGAAAGAAGAAAAAAGAAAGAUCGAAUAUGUCGGCUACCAUUUACGGAAAUGCAAGUCUACACCUAUCGUGAUUGUCUCUACUACUUUUCUAUUCCUGCUCCCGAUCUCUCCCAACAAUCUUCCAUUUUUCCAA
Molecule: non-coding RNA, 141 nt
Filed under: uncultured Nitzschia
Lineage: Eukaryota; Bacillariophyta; Bacillariophyceae; Bacillariales; Bacillariaceae
Source: RNAcentral